RNAcentral lists this ribosomal RNA (497 nucleotides) under uncultured bacterium. RNAcentral's name for it is "partial 16S ribosomal RNA". It matches the Rfam family "Bacterial small subunit ribosomal RNA", at positions 28 to 507 of the family's 1533-position model. The record is from RNAcentral.
GAUGAACGCUGGCGGCGUGCCUAAUACAUGCAAGUCGAGCGAACAGACGAGGAGCUUGCUCCUCUGACGUUAGCGGCGGACGGGUGAGUAACACGUGGAUAACCUACCUAUAAGACUGGGAUAACUUCGGGAAACCGGAGCUAAUACCGGAUAAUACAUUGAACCGCAUGGUUCAAUAGUGAAAGACGGUUUUGCUGUCACUUAUAGAUGGAUCCGCGCCGCAUUAGCUAGUUGGUAAGGUAACGGCUUACCAAGGCAACGAUGCGUAGCCGACCUGAGAGGGGGAUCGGCCACACUGGAACUGAGACACGGUCCAGACUCCUACGGGAGGCAGCAGUAGGGAAUCUUCCGCAAUGGGCGAAAGCUUGACGGAGCAACGCCGCGUGAGUGAUGAAGGUCUUCGGAUCGUAAAACUCUGUUAUUAGGGAAGAACAAAUGUGUAAGUAACUAUGCACGUCUUGACGGUACCUAAUCAGAAAGCCACGGCUAACUACGUG